Molecule: ribosomal RNA, 301 nt
Filed under: uncultured bacterium
Lineage: Bacteria
Description: partial 16S ribosomal RNA
Rfam family: Bacterial small subunit ribosomal RNA
Source: RNAcentral
CAGCCGCCACGGUAACACGUAGGGUGCAAGCGUUAAUCGGAAUUACUGGGCGUAAAGCGUGCGCAGGCGGUUCGGAAAGAAAGAUGUGAAAUCCCAGAGCUUAACUUUGGAACUGCAUUUUUAACUACCGGGCUAGAGUGUGUCAGAGGGAGGUGGAAUUCCGCGUGUAGCAGUAAAAUGCGUAGAUAUGCGGAGGAACACCGAUGGCGAAGGCAGCCUCCUGGGAUAACACUGACGCUCAUGCACGAAAGCGUGGGGAGCAAACAGGAUUAGAUACCCGAGUAGUCCCUGUCUCUUAUAC